UGGGGAAUAUUGGACAAUGGGCGCAAGCCUGAUCCAGCCAUGCCGCGUGAGUGAAGAAGGCCUUCGGGUUGUAAAGCUCUUUCGGCGGGGACGAAACGGUCCGUGACAACACCACGGACUAAUGACAGUACUCGCAGAAGAAGCACCGGCUAACUACGUGCCAGCAGCCGCGGUAAUACGUAGGGUGCAGGCGUUAAUCGGAAUUACUGGGCGUAAAGCGUGCGCAGGCGGCUCCUUAAGUCAGAUGUGAAAUCCCCGGGCUUAACCUGGGAACUGCGUUUGAAACUGAGGGGCUAGAGUGUGGAAGAGGGGGGUGGAAUUCCAGGUGUAGCAGUGAAAUGCGUAGAGAUCUGGAGGAACACCGAUGGCGAAGGCAGCCCCCUGGGCUAACACUGACGCUCAUGCACGAAAGCGUGGGGAGCAAACAGGAUUAGAUACCCACGUAGUCCCUGAGCGGGCUGGCAAGGCGCAU
This 472-nucleotide ribosomal RNA is filed under the name uncultured bacterium. RNAcentral's name for it is "bacterial SSU rRNA". It matches the Rfam family "Bacterial small subunit ribosomal RNA", at positions 355 to 825 of the family's 1533-position model. The record is from RNAcentral.